RNAcentral lists this ribosomal RNA (339 nucleotides) under uncultured soil bacterium. RNAcentral's name for it is "bacterial SSU rRNA". It matches the Rfam family "Bacterial small subunit ribosomal RNA", at positions 26 to 337 of the family's 1533-position model. The record is from RNAcentral.
AGGACGAACGUUGGCGGCGUGCCUUACACAUGCAAGUCGUACGCGAAAGGGGAAUCCAGCUUGCUGGAGACCCCCGGUAGAGUGGCGAACGGGAGCGUAACACGUGAGGAACCUGCCUCGGAGUGGGGAAUAACCCAGAGAAAUCUGAGCUAAUUCCGCAUGAUGCAGCGGCCCCGCAUGGGGACAGUUGUUAAAGACCGCCUCUGCUUGCAAGCGGUCGCUUCGAGAUGGUCUCGCGGCCUAUCAGCUAGUUGGUGAGGUAAUGGCUCACCAAGGCGACGACGGGUAGCCGGCCUGAGAGGGUGUCCGGCCUCAUUGGGACUGAGACACGGCCAGACU